AGAGUUUGAUCAUGGCUCAGGAUGAACGCUGGCGGCGUGCUUAACACAUGCAAGUCGAGCGAAGCAUCUGCAACGAACCCUCCGGGGUGAGGAGCAUUUGACUGAGCGGCGGACGGGUGAGUAACGCGUGGGCAACCUGCCCCAUACCGGGGGAUAACAGUUAGAAAUGACUGCUAAUACCGCAUAAGCGCACAGCGCCGCAUGGCGCAGUGUGAAAAGCUCCGGCAGUAUGGGAUGGGCCCGCGUCUGAUUAGGUAGUUGGUAAGGUAACGGCUUACCAAGCCUGCGAUCAGUAGCCGGCCUGAGAGGGUGGACGGCCACAUUGGGACUGAGACACGGCCCAAACUCCUACGGGAGGCAGCAGUGGGGAAUAUUGCACAAUGGGCGCAAGCCUGAUGCAGCGACGCCGCGUGAGUGAAGAAGUAUUUCGGUAUGUAAAGCUCUAUCAGCAGGGAAGAAAAUGACGGUACCUGACUAAGAAGCCCCGGCUAACUACGUGCCAGCAGCCGCGGUAAUACGUAGGGGGCAAGCGUUAUCCGGAUUUACUGGGUGUAAAGGGAGCGUAGACGGCGUAUCAAGUCUGGUGUGAAAGGCGGGGGCUCAACCCCCGGACUGCAUUGGAAACUGGUAUGCUUGAGUGCCGGAGGGGUAAGCGGAAUUCCUAAGUGUAGCGGUGAAAUGCGUAGAUUAUUAGGAGGAACACCAGUGGCGAAGGCGGCUUACUGGACGGUAACUGACGUUGAGGCUCGAAGCGUGGGGAGCAAACAGGAUUAGAUACCCCGGUAGUCCACGCCGUAACG
This 800-nucleotide ribosomal RNA is filed under the name uncultured bacterium. Its description in RNAcentral is "bacterial SSU rRNA". It matches the Rfam family "Bacterial small subunit ribosomal RNA", at positions 8 to 807 of the family's 1533-position model. The record is from RNAcentral.